Long non-coding RNA from Alligator sinensis (Chinese alligator), 1320 nucleotides. RefSeq lists it as uncharacterized. The record is from RefSeq and is a predicted model, not a curated record. The transcript has 4 exons. Lineage: Eukaryota; Metazoa; Chordata; Crocodylia; Alligatoridae.
UUCCUGAAUCAAAGAGAAUGGACUAUAUCCAGACUUGGUGCAAGCACAUUCUGCUUCAGGAAACAAAUUUUUGGUAUUGUGAGGCAAGACAGGAGGACAUGGAAGGGAAGCACCGGCUCUGAGUACUACAAGGAGCUCAAUGGGUGCCGCUUGCUACAGAGAUCCAGCAAUUUGAAGCCUAUUUAUUGUUUGCUUGUGAGCCAAUAGACCUGUCUACUAUGUGGAUGAGAGGAACACUAGAAGAGCAGAAAAGGCAUCUUGCUCUGGAUACAGAGGCAUGAGUUUUAAUAUGACUGCACAUUUGCACUGAAGGUCAUACCCUGUCAACUGAGAAAUAAAUGGGGUAGCGAGUAAAAGUAGCUGAACAUGAUGCUCCCAUCACUGCCUUGUAGCUUGUGGUCCAGUUGACAAUCUAAACCUGAGAUGACUGUUGAGUAGUUUGAUAAUUUUGAUUUCUCUGCUCUGUACAUGCUAUAACAGGGAAUGGUAUUGUCAUAAGUACUCUGUGAUUAAUUGACCUAAAUCUGUCCCUUUAUUUUCUUGGCUCUUAUUUCACACGCCCAAAGAUGAAAACUCUGGGGAGUGUUGACACUUUUCUUUGUGGAUAUUUCUGAAAUGUUUUGCCAUGUUGUUGUUGUUGUUGUUUUUUUUGGCAAAUUCAACCUGAAUUGACAGAUUUACAGCCACUACGAAGCUAUAGAUUUUGGCAAAUAAAUGACUUGUUAAAAAUUGUUCUAUCCAGCUCUAUUUGCCAUUACUAGAAAAAAGUUUAGUCAUGUGAUUAAGACAUAUGCAAUGGGAUCUUAACUCUUCCACAGAUUUCCAGGGUGGCCUUGGAGCUAUCCUUUAAUCUUUGUUCCUGUAUCUGUAAAAUGGGUAUAAGAUUUUCAUUGCCCUAUCUAUGUCAAUGGAAAAUUAUUUAGUGAAGGGACAGUUUCUUGUUUUUGUACAGGGUCUAUAAUGACAGGCCUCUAAUUUCACUAGGUGCUACCAUAAUACAAAUAAAAAUAGAAAUACAUUUUCAUAUGCUUCUCCCUAAUACCCUAGUAUUUCAUUAGAUCCCCUGGCAUUAGAAUCAUGGCCUUUGAAAGGACCUCGAGAGUCAUCUAUUCCCCAGGACAGGCACAGGAUGCACUAUUCCAGGGAGUACUGUCUGAGAGUAACGACCAUUUUAUACUCCAUGUGUUCUUUUUACCUUUGAGCUUUAUCCUGCCGUAAGUACUAUAGACUGUAAAAAAAAAACAACAAAAACCAAAAAAAAACCAAAAAAAAAAACCAACUGUACUUUAAUCUUGAAUGUUUCCAGCUUCCUUUUUUAUA